AUGCAGAACUGGGGCGAAGAACAGAAAGCAUUAGUUCGUGCGAUGGGCCUUGGUGGGUUACUGCAUCUUCGGAAAACAGGGAAUUUUUUUAUCUCUUUCACACGAUCUCUGCUUGAUAGGAUCGACCCCAAUGACAGUACGAUGAGGCUGCCAGGCGGUGCGAAGUCGAUCUUGGGCGAGAUGGAGAUUUGCUCUUAUAUGGAUAUAAGGAGAGGAGGUUUGACACUGCAGAGGAACGGCAACAGUCCAAGUGAUGAUCACUACAUGAGUGCUAUGUAUCUUCUGGGAAUGGCUCUGAUUCCACAAGAGAUCACUGUGAACGAUGUAGUUAGUAUACUACAAGAACACGUGGACUCGCCGAUGACUCGAGAGUAG
This 375-nucleotide ribosomal RNA is filed under the name Triticum aestivum (bread wheat). RNAcentral describes it as "partial small subunit ribosomal RNA". The record is from RNAcentral. Lineage: Eukaryota; Viridiplantae; Streptophyta; Magnoliopsida; Poales; Poaceae.